GGUUCGGGGGUUCCCGAGCGGCCAAAGGGAGCAGACUGUAAAUCUGCCGUCAUCGACUUCGAAGGUUCGAAUCCUUCCCCCACCACCA
This 88-nucleotide transfer RNA is filed under the name Salmonella enterica subsp. enterica serovar Newport. RNAcentral's name for it is "tRNA-Tyr". It matches the Rfam family "tRNA". Rfam says of the family: Transfer RNA (tRNA) molecules are approximately 80 nucleotides in length. The record is from RNAcentral. Lineage: Bacteria; Pseudomonadati; Pseudomonadota; Gammaproteobacteria; Enterobacterales; Enterobacteriaceae.